RNAcentral lists this ribosomal RNA (254 nucleotides) under uncultured bacterium. RNAcentral's name for it is "partial 16S ribosomal RNA". It matches the Rfam family "Bacterial small subunit ribosomal RNA", at positions 524 to 776 of the family's 1533-position model. The record is from RNAcentral.
CACGUAGGGUGCGAGCGUUGUCCGGAAUUAUUGGGCGUAAAGAGCUCGUAGGCGGUGUGUCGCGUCGGCCGUGAAAACCUGCAGCUUAACUGUGGGCUUGCGGUCGAUACGGGCAUCACUGGAGUUCGGCAGGGGAGACUGGAAUUCCUGGUGUAGCGGUGAAAUGCGCAGAUAUCAGGAGGAACACCGGUGGCGAAGGCGGCUCUCUGGACCGAGACUGACGCUGAGGCGCGAAAGCGUGGGGAGCAAACAGG